Molecule: ribosomal RNA, 496 nt
Filed under: uncultured bacterium
Lineage: Bacteria
Description: partial 16S ribosomal RNA
Rfam family: Bacterial small subunit ribosomal RNA
Source: RNAcentral
AUGCACGCUGGCGGCGUGCCUAAUACAUGCAAGUCGAGCGAACAGACGAGGAGCUUGCUCCUCUGACGUUAGCGGCGGACGGGUGAGUAACACGUGGAUAACCUACCUAUAAGACUGGGAUAACUUCGGGAAACCGGAGCUAAUACCGGAUAAUAUAUUGAACCGCAUGGUUCAAUAGUGAAAGACGGUUUUGCUGUCACUUAUAGAUGGAUCCGCGCCGCAUUAGCUAGUUGGUAAGGUAACGGCUUACCAAGGCAACGAUGCGUAGCCGACCUGAGAGGGUGAUCGGCCACACUGGAACUGAGACACGGUCCAGACUCCUACGGGAGGCAGCAGUAGGGAAUCUUCCGCAAUGGGCGAAAGCUUGACGGAGCAACGCCGCGUGAGUGAUGAAGGUCUUCGGAUCGUAAAACUCUGUUAUUAGGGAAGAACAAAUGUGUAAGUAACUACGCACGUCUUGACGGUACCUAAUCAGAAAGCCACGGCUAACUACGUG